Molecule: ribosomal RNA, 172 nt
Filed under: uncultured bacterium
Lineage: Bacteria
Description: partial 16S ribosomal RNA
Rfam family: Bacterial small subunit ribosomal RNA
Source: RNAcentral
GAAGCUGGAUUCGCUAGUAAUCGCGCAUCAGCCAUGGCGCGGUGAAUACGUUCCCGGGCCUUGUACACACCGCCCGUCAAGCCAUGAAAGCCGGGGGGCGCCUGAAGUCCGUGACCGCGAGGGUCGGCCUAGGGUGAAACCGGUGAUUGGGGCUAAGUCGUAACAAGGUAUC